This is a long non-coding RNA of Cyprinus carpio carpio, 587 nucleotides long. Lineage: Eukaryota; Metazoa; Chordata; Actinopteri; Cypriniformes; Cyprinidae. The record is from Ensembl.
AAAACUAGAUCAAUGAAAAAAAAAACACUAAGAAUAAAAAUCAAAGUACACUUUCAUAUUUGAUCCAACUGUUUUGAUGACUAAAUGUUUUUUAAGACACAAUGUUUUUUAAAUGGUUAUUAAAUAUUCCAACAUGAAUAAAAAUCACAACAAGAACACAACAUUGUCAGGAUAUACUCAGGAGACAGAGGUAAGGUGAAUUCAGAACAGUGAUUUAUUGAGUGAUAUAUGUACAAGUGCGGUGAAUUCGUUUCCUCAAGUGCUCGUUGAAUCUCCAAUGAAGAUAUACGUGCUCUGAGUGUCACAUGGAAUGGAAUAUCCAGGCAGGUAAGUUUGCUAGGUUCUUGUAACGUCAAAGCCACAAUCAAGAUCAUUCACUGGCGUUCUCUCUAUCCUUAGAUGCCGAAGACAGUAACUACAUCAGGGGAAUCACAGGAGAUUUCAGCGACCAUAGAAUCACCGGUACAGAGCUGAUGAUCAGCGGUCCUGAGGGCAGCAGAGCAAAGACACAGGUUAGUGUAACACCAGUAGGUGAGUAUACGUUACGUCAGGCAAGGAGAGCUUCAGGAGACGAGAGUGAAGAGUCU